Molecule: ribosomal RNA, 422 nt
Filed under: Campylobacter jejuni
Lineage: Bacteria; Pseudomonadati; Campylobacterota; Epsilonproteobacteria; Campylobacterales; Campylobacteraceae
Description: bacterial SSU rRNA
Rfam family: Bacterial small subunit ribosomal RNA
Source: RNAcentral
UUUUAUGGAGAGUUUGAUCCUGGCUCAGAGUGAACGCUGGCGGCGUGCCUAAUACAUGCAAGUCGAACGAUGAAGCUUCUAGCUUGCUAGAAGUGGAUUAGUGGCGCACGGGUGAGUAAGGUAUAGUUAAUCUGCCCUACACAAGAGGACAACAGUUGGAAACGACUGCUAAUACUCUAUACUCCUGCUUAACACAAGUUGAGUAGGGAAAGUUUUUCGGUGUAGGAUGAGACUAUAUAGUAUCAGCUAGUUGGUAAGGUAAUGGCUUACCAAGGCUAUGACGCUUAACUGGUCUGAGAGGAUGAUCAGUCACACUGGAACUGAGACACGGUCCAGACUCCUACGGGAGGCAGCAGUAGGGAAUAUUGCGCAAUGGGGGAAACCCUGACGCAGCAACGCCGCGUGGAGGAUGACACUUUUCG